This 801-nucleotide ribosomal RNA is filed under the name uncultured bacterium. RNAcentral describes it as "bacterial SSU rRNA". It matches the Rfam family "Bacterial small subunit ribosomal RNA", at positions 8 to 796 of the family's 1533-position model. The record is from RNAcentral.
AGAGUUUGAUCCUGGCUCAGGACGAACGCUGACGGUGUGCUUUAGACAUGCAAGUCGAACGAGAAAGCCCUUCGGGGUGAGUACAGUGGCGAACGGGUGAGUAACACGUGGGUAACCUGCCCCUCGCAGGGGGACAACCGGGGGAAACCCCGGCUAAUACCCCGUACGCUCCGAGGUCCGCAUGGGCCACGGAGGAAAGGUAGCUUCGGCCAUCCGGCGAGGGAUGGGCCCGCGGUCCAUUAGCUGGUUGGUGGGGUAACGGCCUACCAAGGCGACGAUGGAUAGCUGGUCUGAGAGGAUGAUCAGCCACACUGGGACUGAGACACGGCCCAGACUCCUACGGGAGGCAGCAGUCGGGAAUCUUGCGCAAUGGGCGAAAGCCUGACGCAGCAACACCGUGUGGGCGACGAAGGCCUUCGGGUCGUAAAGCCCUGUUGUUGGGGACGAAGGGCGAAGGGUUAAUAGCCCCUAGCUUGACGGUACCCUUCGAGGAAGCCCCGGCUAACUACGUGCCAGCAGCCGCGGUAAUACGUAGGGGGCGAGCGUUGUCCGGAAUUAUUGGGCGUAAAGAGCGUGUAGGCGGUCCGGUAAGUCUGCCGUGAAAACCCGGGGCUCAACCCCGGGCGUGCGGUGGAUACUGCCGGGCUAGAGGGUGGUAGAGGCGAGUGGAAUUCCCGGUGUAGCGGUGAAAUGCGCAGAUAUCGGGAGGAACACCAGUAGCGAAGGCGGCUCGCUGGGCCAUUCCUGACGCUGAGACGCGAAAGCUAGGGGAGCGAACAGGAUUAGAUACCCUAGUAGUCC